Molecule: ribosomal RNA, 253 nt
Filed under: uncultured bacterium
Lineage: Bacteria
Description: partial 16S ribosomal RNA
Rfam family: Bacterial small subunit ribosomal RNA
Source: RNAcentral
UACAGAGGGGGCAAGCGUUGUUCGGAAUUACUGGGCGUAAAGGGCGCGUAGGCGGCCGCCUAAGUCAGACGUGAAAUCCCUCGGCUCAACCGGGGAACUGCGUCUGAUACUGGGUGGCUUGAAUCCGGGAGAGGGAUGUGGAAUUCCAGGUGUAGCGGUGAAAUGCGUAGAUAUCUGGAGGAACACCGGUGGCGAAGGCGGCAUCCUGGACCGAUAUUGACGCUGAUGCGCGAAAGCCAGGGGAGCAAACGGG